UACAUGAAGCUUUGGCUGAUGUGGAAUGAGGAUCAUCUUCCUGCCAACAAAGGCGAAGUCUUUCAUCGUAAUGAAAGAAGGUUUUAUCUGUCCUGCUUGACAUUGACUGCAAAUGAGGAGGCCUGAUGGAUAAAGGUGUGUACCACCAACACCCUGCUGCGGCCUGAUGAAAAGGUCUUAACGAUCUGCAACGCAUGACUAUAAGGCGACACAUGGGUGUUGAGAAAAAAUUAACAGAAAUCAAUGUGGAAGCAGAUGGGGAUUGAUGGAGAAGUCAGAUGCCACAGUAUUAUAAAUGCAGUAGAUGUGUUGGUAUGCAAAUUAAAAACCAUGUGUGAUCUAAAACAUCUUUUAAUGAAAAGAGAUGUAUAAAAAUUCCAGCAUAAUGGCACAUUUUAAAUACACGAAAAGUAACAAAUCUUACUGGGAGCACCCAGCAUGUGUUGGUCAAUCUUUGUUGAAAGAAAAUCUAUAAGAUUUUUUCUUCAAGUUCUCCAAGUAGAUCUGCUCCUCUUGGAGGUAUUCACUGUCCUGUGGGGAGGAGGAGAAAGUAAUUAGGAACCAAGACAAAAACUGAAAUGUUUGGCAUCUUCUGAUGGAAGUGUCAUUGUAGUUAACUAAAUGUGUGAUUGUGGGAAAGUUACAUGUUGUAACUGGCCUGUUUCAUAUUGACAUUAAAAAAACCUCUACAGUAACAACCUA
This is a long non-coding RNA of Sebastes umbrosus (honeycomb rockfish), 702 nucleotides long. RefSeq lists it as uncharacterized. NCBI's taxonomy places the organism in Eukaryota, Metazoa, Chordata, Actinopteri, Perciformes, Sebastidae. The record is from RefSeq and is a predicted model, not a curated record. The transcript has 4 exons.